RNAcentral lists this ribosomal RNA (489 nucleotides) under uncultured bacterium. RNAcentral's name for it is "partial 16S ribosomal RNA". It matches the Rfam family "Bacterial small subunit ribosomal RNA", at positions 28 to 507 of the family's 1533-position model. The record is from RNAcentral.
GACGAACGCUGGCGGCGUGCUUAACACAUGCAAGUCGAACGGUGAAGGGAUCAGCUUGCUGGUUCUGGAUGAGUGGCGAACGGGUGAGUAACACGUGAGUAACCUGCCCCCUUCUUCUGGAUAACCGCAUGAAAGUGUGGCUAAUACGGGAUAUUCUGCGCCUGCUGCAUGGUGGGUGUGGGAAAGAUAUUGUUUCGGUGGGGGAUGGGCUCGCGGCCUAUCAGCUUGUUGGUGGGGUGAUGGCCUACCAAGGCGGUGACGGGUAGCCGGCCUGAGAGGGUGGACGGUCACACUGGGACUGGGACACGGCCCAGACUCCUACGGGAGGCAGCAGUGGGGAAUAUUGCACAAUGGGCGAAAGCCUGAUGCAGCGACGCCGCGUGAGGGAUGGAGGCCUUCGGGUUGUGAACCUCUUUCGCCAGUGAAGCAGGCCUGUCCCUUGUGGGUGGGUUGACGGUAGCUGGAUAAGAAGCGCCGGCUAACUACGUG